AGAGUCUGAUCCUGGCUCAGGACGAACGCUGGCGGCGUGCUUAACACAUGCAAGCCGAACGGAAAGGCCCUGCUUGCAGGGUACUCGAGUGGCGAACGGGUGAGUAACACGUGGGUGAUCUGCCCUGCACUUCGGGAUAAGCCUGGGAAACUGGGUCUAAUACCGGAUAGGAGCCAUUUUUAGUGUGAUGGUUGGAAAGUUUUUUCGGUGUAGGAUGAGCUCGCGGCCUAUCAGCUUGUUGGUGGGGUAAUGGCCUACCAAGGCGGCGACGGGUAGCCGGCCUGAGAGGGUGGACGGCCACACUGGGACUGAGAUACGGCCCAGACUCCUACGGGAGGCAGCAGAAGGG
RNAcentral lists this ribosomal RNA (349 nucleotides) under uncultured Corynebacteriaceae bacterium. RNAcentral's name for it is "bacterial SSU rRNA". It matches the Rfam family "Bacterial small subunit ribosomal RNA", at positions 8 to 359 of the family's 1533-position model. The record is from RNAcentral. Lineage: Bacteria; Bacillati; Actinomycetota; Actinomycetes; Mycobacteriales; Corynebacteriaceae.